RNAcentral lists this ribosomal RNA (411 nucleotides) under Theileria annulata. RNAcentral describes it as "SSU rRNA". It matches the Rfam family "Eukaryotic small subunit ribosomal RNA", at positions 465 to 916 of the family's 1831-position model. Lineage: Eukaryota; Apicomplexa; Aconoidasida; Piroplasmida; Theileriidae. The record is from RNAcentral.
UAGUGACAAGAAAUAACAAUACGGGGCUUAAAGUCUUGUAAUUGGAAUGAUGGGAAUUUAAACCUCUUCCAGAGUAUCAAUUGGAGGGCAAGUCUGGUGCCAGCAGCCGCGGUAAUUCCAGCUCCAAUAGCGUAUAUUAAAAUUGUUGCAGUUAAAAAGCUCGUAGUUGAAUUUCUGCUGCAUUGCUUGUGUCCCUCUGGGGUCUGUGCAUGUGGCUUUUUUCGGACGGAGUUUCUUUGUCUGAAUGUUUACUUUGAGAAAAUUAGAGUGCUCAAAGCAGGCUUUCGCCUUGAAUAGUUUAGCAUGGAAUAAUAAAGUAGGACUUUGGUUCUAUUUUGUUGGUUUUAGGUACCAAAGUAAUGGUUAAUAGGAACAGUUGGGGGCAUUCGUAUUUAACUGUCAGAGGUGAAA